GAACCUUACCAGCCCUUGACAUACCGGUCGCGGACACAGAGAUGUGUCUUUCAGUUCGGCUGGACCGGAUACAGGUGCUGCAUGGCUGUCGUCAGCUCGUGUCGUAAGAUGUUGGGUUAAGUCCCGCAACGAGCGCAACCCUCGCCCUUAGUUGCCAGCAUUUAGUUGGGCACUCUAGGGGGACUGCCGGUGAUAAGCCGAGAGGAAGGUGGGGAUGACGUCAAGUCCUCAUGGCCCUUACGGGCUGGGCUACACACGUGCUACAAUGGUGGUGACAGUGGGCAGCGAGCACGCGAGUGUGAGCUAAUCUCCAAAAGCCAUCUCAGUUCGGAUUGCACUCUGCAACUCGAGUGCAUGAAGUUGGAAUCGCUAGUAAUCGCGGAUCAGCAUGCCGCGGUGAAUACGUUCCCGGGCCUUGUACACACCGCCCGUCACACCAUGGGAGUUGGUUUUACCCGAAGGCGCUGUGCUAACCGCAAGGAGGCAGGCGACCACGGUAGGGUCAGCGACUGGGGUG
RNAcentral lists this ribosomal RNA (517 nucleotides) under uncultured bacterium ECS13. RNAcentral's name for it is "bacterial SSU rRNA". It matches the Rfam family "Bacterial small subunit ribosomal RNA", at positions 966 to 1482 of the family's 1533-position model. The record is from RNAcentral.